UUAGUUAAAGCCAAAAAGAGGCAUUUCAUUGUUAAUGAAAAAAUUAGAUCUUGAUCUUAACUAAA
Molecule: transfer RNA, 65 nt
Filed under: Pilophorus typicus
Lineage: Eukaryota; Metazoa; Arthropoda; Insecta; Hemiptera; Miridae
Description: tRNA-Asn
Source: RNAcentral